AGAGUUUGAUCAUGGCUCAGGACGAACGCUGGCGGCGUGCUUAAUACAUGCAAGUCGAGCGAGGUUACUGUUUUGGAUCCCUUCGGGGUGAAGAAGCUUUAACCUAGCGGCGGACGGGUGAGUAACGCGUGGGUAACCUACUCCAAAGUCCGGGAUAACAGCGGGAAACCGCUGCUAAUACCGGAUGCCUUUACCUUGGGGCAUCUUGAGGUAAAGAAAGGUAACGCUUUGGGAUGGGCCCGCGUCCCAUUAGCUAGUUGGUGAGGUAACGGCUCACCAAGGCGACGAUGGGUAGCCGGCCUGAGAGGGUGGACGGCCACACUGGGACUGAGACACGGCCCAGACUCCUACGGGAGGCAGCAGUAGGGAAUAUUGCGCAAUGGACGGAAGUCUGACGCAGCGACGCCGCGUGAGCGAUGAAGGUCUUCGGAUCGUAAAGCUCUGUCCUUGGGGAAGAAGGCGAAAGCUUGACGGUACCCAAGAAGAAAGCCCCGGCUAACUACGUGCCAGCAGCCGCGGUAAUACGUAGGGGGCGAGCGUUGUCCGGAAUUACUGGGCGUAAAGGGUGCGUAGGCGGCCCUUUAAGUCGGAUGUGAAAGCCCGCGGCUUAACCGCGGAAUGGCAUUCGAAACUGGAGGGCUUGAGUGUCGGAGAGGGUAGUGGAAUUCCCAGUGUAGCGGUGAAAUGCGUAGAUAUUGGGAGGAACACCAGUGGCGAAGGCGACUGCCUGGACGAUAACUGACGCUGAGGCACGAAAGCUAGGGGAGCAAACAGGAUUAGAUACCCUGGUAGUCCUAGCCGUAAACGAUGGGUACUAGGUGUGGGUGGUUUCGAUACCAUCCGUGCCGUANUUAACGCAUUAAGUACCCCGCCUGGGGAGUACGUGCGCAAGCAUGAAACUCAAAGGAAUUGACGG
RNAcentral lists this ribosomal RNA (916 nucleotides) under uncultured bacterium. RNAcentral describes it as "bacterial SSU rRNA". It matches the Rfam family "Bacterial small subunit ribosomal RNA", at positions 8 to 916 of the family's 1533-position model. The record is from RNAcentral.